Molecule: unclassified non-coding RNA, 258 nt
Filed under: plant metagenome
Description: partial contains small subunit ribosomal RNA and internal transcribed spacer 1
Rfam family: Eukaryotic small subunit ribosomal RNA (bases 1-47)
Source: RNAcentral
AAAGUCGUAACAAGGUUUCCGUAGGUGAACCUGCGGAAGGAUCAUUAAAGAAGUUAAGGGGUUCCUAGUGGGCCCCAACCUCCAAGCCCCUCUGUUGGCAUUAAAAACUACCAUUGUUGCUUUGGGCCGGGACCGAUUCCGGUCUCCCGAGGCGCGUUAACCCUCGGGUUGGCGAGCGCCCGGCCAAGAGUUCCCAAACCAAACCUCUUGUAAUUAAACCUGUCGUGCUGGUUGUAAAAUUUUAAUUAAAUUAAAAAC